This is a long non-coding RNA of Rhinopithecus roxellana (golden snub-nosed monkey), 1838 nucleotides long. RefSeq lists it as uncharacterized. The transcript has 4 exons. The record is from RefSeq and is a predicted model, not a curated record. NCBI's taxonomy places the organism in Eukaryota, Metazoa, Chordata, Mammalia, Primates, Cercopithecidae.
UCCAGCCUGGGCCACAGAGUGAGACUCUGUCUCAAAAAAAUACAAAAAAUAAAUAAAUAAAAUAGCAAAUUCUUACUUGUGUUAUUUAGAGCAUACACACAGUCACAUGUGAAGCAAAUCAUUUAUGUAAUCCCAAGCAUGGAUUAUGAUUUUCUUACUAUGUGGCAUCCCAGAGAGGACGUUUCUGUUUUCAAGUUUUUUUUAAGGUCUCCAUUAAAAGCAUGAAAUUCUCUGAAAGUCACCGCAAGCUGGGCGGCAUGUGUGUGGGACUGUCUGAUCAGUAUGUGGGCCUUGUCUGACCUGAGGAAAGUCCAGUGGGGUCUGAGCUGACUUCCGGCCGCACUCACCUGCUGUAGGGAAGGGUGGAUCAGUGGGUGGAUUAAGUCACUUUCCUAAAUUGUUUCCUCAUCUGUAGAACUGGGAUUGUGUCAACCUCAUCGGCACAGAUUUCUUCAUAACAUUCUUUUUCCAAGUUUCCCUCGAAGAGUUCUUCCAGGAGAUAGGAGCCCGCACGCUUCCACCUCACCAGAACGUCGUUUGCUUUGGAGGCCGGGAGAAGUACUACAGACAAGACAAGACGACAGGUGACUGGGAGCACCCAGGGCCCUGCUUUCCAGAACUGCCUGGCUUCCGCCCCAGCCAGCCGCCAGCCCCUGCCCCCUCGGUCUCCACAGCCUCUCAGCCUGCGAGGGCCUCAGGACCACCCCGCCACCCCCUCCCCCGAGGUAGGCAAGCACUUCAUCCUCUGGGCGAAUGGACCAGCCCCGGGAUCCGUGCAGAUACACUAAGGGUCUGCAGAGAGGCCACGGGCCUCAGUCGGGAAAGUGAAGGAGGGAGGGCUCCAACUGGGUUUUGGGUCCCAGUGCGAAGGAAGGCCGAGCUGGGGUCAAAGGUCACUGUGCUGAGAACUGGGGACCAAGAGCCAUCAGGUCCUGGGCUGCCUCUGUGCACAGGAUUUAACAUCUUGAUAAAACACAAAGAGAAGAAACUUUGCAGCAGGCUCUGCGAUUUCCAGGAGGAGAAGGCAAACCAGUCAGCCCGCGGCAGUCGUUUCGAGAGGCUCUUCCCGCCCAAGGGCCCCAAAGCACGUUCUCUCCCUCUCCCGGAGGGUCAAAGCCCAGGUCCUUCACAUCCUCCCUCCCUUUCUCUCAGUGCUGAGGGUUACAGCAGGGACGGCUCAGCUAAGUCCGGCCACGCUUUCCUGGACGCCUGUGCAGGCAGAGUCAGGAUGGAGUCCGCGUCUGUUCCUCCAGCAAAGCGGCUGGUGGUAGAAGGGUGGCAGGCGGGCAGGGUGGCUGCUCCCUGGCUGUGUCUCCUGACUCAAGACUGAGCACUCCUGGCCAGCCUGGCCAAGGCACUCUCUGCCCACAUUGCAGUCGGGGCUCGGCCUGCCCCACCCCCUCCCCCCUGUCCAAUGCCCAGCCCAGGCCUGGGACCCCCCCUCCUCCCCCCUCCCCGCUCCCCGGCCUUUCCCCACCGAAUCUCCUGCACACACGCUUCUUUCCAUUUGGGCAUCUCUUGGGAGGACCCCAAGUGACACCAUCAUGUCCCAAAUACUUGUCACCAAAUGAUAAAGACCUAAACGGCUUUUUCAGGGGAAUUAAGACAAGUCUGGGCACUCAGGGCUCCUCCGGCUCCUGGGAAAAGUGUCAUCUACAAAUCCACCGUGGACUGAAUCAAGGACACAGCACAGGCACAACAGACAGGGUGGCAGCAGAGAGAACGAGUGCAAGCAGCAGAAAUGCCAGAUGCUUAUAAAACCAUCGAAUCUCAUGAGACUCACUCACUGUCCCAAGAACAGCAUGGCAGAAACCACCCCCAUGGUCCAAUCACCUCCC